AUUUCCCCAUUCAACUUAUUUUUGUCUUCUCACUUGGCAAUGGAAAAAAUCCUCAGUGACUUUCAACAUCCCUUCAAGGCAAAGUUCAGCGAUUAUAAAUCUUACUUGAAAGCAGUUUCAAGAGAAAGAUUCACAUUUGCUAUCUCUGGCUUGAAAAUUGCAAAUUAGCUACCUUCCCUCACCUGCCUGCAAAAAAAGCAUCCUUCUGUCCACUCUUGCAUUGACUGACUCACCUGGAGGAGCCCACUGAUCAGAUUAGACACAAGUUAAUUUCUGCCUAAAUUGCCUCCUGGCAGAUCAGAAGCCAUCACAUGUCUCCAGAGCGCCGUCUCCUUUAUGUGCAGUGACAUUACCAGGCGAUGUGUCAUGUUCAGCAAGCUCCAUCCCUUUAAUUGCCUGUCAUUACAAAACAUUCCUGCUUUAAAUAACAACAAACAGCAGAAACUUUCUUUCCCUGAC
RNAcentral lists this long non-coding RNA (459 nucleotides) under Cyanistes caeruleus (blue tit). RNAcentral's name for it is "lncRNA (ENSCCEG00000020028.1)". The record is from RNAcentral. Lineage: Eukaryota; Metazoa; Chordata; Aves; Passeriformes; Paridae.